Molecule: long non-coding RNA, 952 nt
Organism: Pieris napi
Lineage: Eukaryota; Metazoa; Arthropoda; Insecta; Lepidoptera; Pieridae
Exons: 2
Source: RefSeq, a predicted model, not a curated record
GCAAAAAGAUAUUUAACAUUAUUAAUAAACUUAACCGGCGGACCCCUUGGACCGGUGAUGAUUUAUUUAGACUACGUUGCGUUUUGUCUGUGAUUUCAAAACAAAACGCAAUUCCAUAAACCCAUUCUGAUUACUUGAACAGCACCUUUAUGUGUCGCUACAACCUUUUGAGGGCUGGGCCUCAGGUCAUUUGCUUAUAUUGGUCCAUGGUAUACAUGGUAUCAUCACUGAGCGCGUGCAAAAUGCCCACAUAUAAAGUACAUUGGUGCACAGCCGGGGAUCGAACAUACGUCCUCAAACAUCCUUGGUCGUUGCUGUGCAUUUAACGUCACGUUUCUAUAUUAGAUUUUUCGUUUUGGUCGUUGUUGUGUUUUUAAUCGAUUUCUCGAAUCAAUUACCACUUUGAAUCAUUAUUUUUAAGGCUGUUAUAGCAGUAGUGCAAUGAUAAAAACGAACUAACAUGAAUAUUAUUUUGUUAUUUGCCAUGUUUAUAGCUAUACAAACGCUUAAUUCACUAUCAAAUAUAAUAUCCGAAGAAAUAGAUUAUGUCCGACCACACGAAGUUGCAGCGAGGGACAAAUUUACAAAAAUAUUUGGUAAUCAUCUUUUAAAAGGAAAGAGAAACAAAACUAAAAAACCAAAGAUGAAAAAGAAAGAGAAGGAGAAACCAAAAUCUAAAGGAAACAGAUUUGAAAUUAGAAUAGGUGACACACAGAUUAAUAUCUCCCAGGGAUCCAUUGUUAAAGUUGAAACGCGGAACGAGACGUCUACGACAUAUAAUGUGUACAAGCAGCAGGAUUGUAAAAAUUGUGGAAAGCCAUUCCAAAAUUGGCCUUUUGACAGACCGUUUCCGUGGAAUUGAUGUUUUGAAAUGAAUAAAAAAAGUCAAUCAAUGUCGGGGUUAGAUUAGCUGAACUUAUUGUAAUAAAUGAAUCAUUGGCGUUACAAUUUC